RNAcentral lists this ribosomal RNA (459 nucleotides) under Klebsiella pneumoniae. RNAcentral describes it as "partial 23S ribosomal RNA". It matches the Rfam family "Bacterial large subunit ribosomal RNA", at positions 863 to 1319 of the family's 2925-position model. Lineage: Bacteria; Pseudomonadati; Pseudomonadota; Gammaproteobacteria; Enterobacterales; Enterobacteriaceae. The record is from RNAcentral.
AAGCUAUUUAGGUAGCGCCUCGUGAACUCAUCUUCGGGGGUAGAGCACUGUUUCGGCUAGGGGGUCAUCCCGACUUACCAACCCGAUGCAAACUACGAAUACCGAAGAAUGUUAUCACGGGAGACACACGGCGGGUGCUAACGUCCGUCGUGAAGAGGGAAACAACCCAGACCGCCAGCUAAGGUCCCAAAGUCAUGGUUAAGUGGGAAACGAUGUGGGAAGGCACAGACAGCCAGGAUGUUGGCUUAGAAGCAGCCAUCAUUUAAAGAAAGCGUAAUAGCUCACUGGUCGAGUCGGCCUGCGCGGAAGAUGUAACGGGGCUAAACCAUGCACCGAAGCUGCGGCAGCGACACUAUGUGUUGUUGGGUAGGGGAGCGUUCUGUAAGCCUGCGAAGGUGACCUGUGAGGGUUGCUGGAGGUAUCAGAAGUGCGAAUGCUGACAUAAGUAACGAUAAAGCG